CAAAGAUUACGCCAUGCAAGUGAAAGUAUAUGCAUAUUUUAUAUGUAGAAACUGCGAACGGCUCAUUAAAACAGUUAUAAUCUACUUGACAUUUUUUCUAUAAGGAUAACUACGGAAAAGCUGUAGCUAAUACUUGCUUUAGCACUCUUGAUUCAUUUCUUGAGUGUGUACUUGUUAAGCCUUUUAAGAAAAAAGUUAUUAACUUAAGGAAUUAUAACAAAGAAGCGACACGUAAUGGAUCCGUCCAUUUUUAGUGUGUAUCAAUCGAGUUUCUGACCUAUCAGCUUUUGAUGUUAGGGUAUUGGCCUAACAUGGCUAUGACGGGUAACGGGGAAUUAGAGUUCGAUUCCGGAGAGGGAGCCUGAGAAAUAGCUACCACAUCUAAGGAAGGCAGCAGGCGCGUAAAUUACCCAAUUCUAAAGAAGAGAGGUAGUGACAAGAAAUAACAAUACAAGGCCAAUCUGGCUUUGUAAUUGGAAUGAUGGGAAUUUAAAACCUUCCCAAAACUCAAUUGGAGGGCAAGUCUGGUGCCAGCAGCCGCGGUAAUUCCAGCUCCAAUAGCGUAUAUUAAAAUUGUUGCAGUUAAAACGCUCGUAGUUGAAUUUCAAAGAAUCGACAUUUUAAGCAACGCUUCUAGCUUAAUCCACAUAACUGAUACUUCGUAUCGACUUUGUGCGCAUUUUGCUAUUAUGUGUUCUUUUAAUUAAAAUGAUUCUUUUUAAGGACUUUCUUUGCUUCGGCUUGGAAGUCCUUGUUACUUUGAGUAAAUUAGAGUGUUCAAAGCAAACAGAUAUAGCAUUGCGCGUUUGAAUACUACAGCAUGGAAUAACAAAAUUGAACAAGUCAGAAUUUUGUUCUUUUUUCUUAUUUUGGCUUAGUUACGAUUAAUAGGAGUAGCUUGGGGGCAUUUGUAUUCAGAUGUCAGAGGUGAAAUUCUUAGAUUUUCUGGAGACAAACAACUGCGAAAGCAUUUGCCUAAAAUACUUCCAUUAAUCAAGAACGAAAGUUAAGGGAGUGAAGACGAUCAGAUACCGUCGUAAUCUUAACCAUAAACUAUGCCGACUAGGCUUUGGAUGAAAGAUUUUAAAAUAAGAGUUUUCUCUUCGGAGUUUACUCUUAGAUUGCUUCCUUCAGUGCCUUAUGAGAAAUCAAAGUCUUUGGGUUCUGGGGCGAGUAUUCGCGCAAGCGAGAAAGUUAAAAGAAUUGACGGAAGGGCACCACCAGGCGUGGAGCUUGCGGCUUAAUUUGACUCAACACGGGAAAACUCACUAGUUUAAGACAAGAGUAGGAUUGACAGAUUAAUAGCUCUUUCUUGAUUUCUUGGAUGGUGAUGCAUGGCCGUUUUUAGUUCGUGAAUAUGAUUUGUCUGGUUAAUUCCGAUAACGAACGAGAUCUUAACCUGCUAAUUAGCGGCAAAUACGAUAUAUUCUUACGUGGGACUGAAUUCGGUUGAUUUGCUUACUUUGAAGAAAAUAUUGGGAUACGUAACAGUUUCCCUUUCCCUUUUCUACUUAGUUCGCUUUUCAUACUGUUUCUUUUUCGCGUAAGAAUGUAUUU
Molecule: ribosomal RNA, 1557 nt
Filed under: Plasmodium vivax (malaria parasite P. vivax)
Lineage: Eukaryota; Apicomplexa; Aconoidasida; Haemosporida; Plasmodiidae
Description: SSU rRNA
Rfam family: Eukaryotic small subunit ribosomal RNA
Source: RNAcentral